Pyrus x bretschneideri (Chinese white pear) is the source of this 570-nucleotide long non-coding RNA. RefSeq lists it as uncharacterized. NCBI's taxonomy places the organism in Eukaryota, Viridiplantae, Streptophyta, Magnoliopsida, Rosales, Rosaceae. The transcript is spliced from 2 exons. The record is from RefSeq and is a predicted model, not a curated record.
CUUUUGUCUGUCUAAUAUCCCUAAUCUCUCGACUAUGCUCAGUCUCCCCUGUGUCUCCUCUUCAGUUGCUCUGUCGCCCCAACAAUGACCGCCUUCGUCAUCUCAACCGCUCUCGAUAUCAUCAGGAAGAGAGGUCUAUGUCCCGUAGUUGAUCUUCGGACACCUCCUGACGAGUAGCAACUAUGAUAAUACGGUGAAGAAAACCACCGGUGGACGCAAAGGCUACGGUGCCAAGCUUACGAACAUCUUCUCCAUUGAAUUCAUCAUCGAGACGGCGGACGGAAUGCGACAGAAGAACUAUAAGCAGGUACAAAAUUGUGGAUUCUCUAAUUUACGUGAUGUUUAAUUUGUAUUUUAGGAUUUUACUAUUUUGUGGAAUUUAGGAACUAAGAUUUGGUCUUCUAUUUUAGGGUUUGGUGUGUAAAAAAUUGUGUAUUGUAGGGUUUCAAUGUUUGGUGGAAUUGCGGAAUUAGGAUUUGGUCUUCUAUUUGUGAUUGUUCAUUUGAAAUUUGAUGAAAUUUCGUUUUGUAAUCUGUGAUUUAUUGGGGAAUUGUAGGAUUAGGGUUUCAA